UGUGUGUGUGUGUGUGUGUGUGUGUGUGUGUGUGUGUAUAUAUAUAUACAUACACCUAUAUACAGUACAUACACA
This is a non-coding RNA of Podarcis lilfordi (Lilford's wall lizard), 75 nucleotides long. Lineage: Eukaryota; Metazoa; Chordata; Lepidosauria; Squamata; Lacertidae. The record is from the annotation of a GenBank genome assembly.